UACGGGGGGGGCAAGCGUUGUUCGGAAUUACUGGGCGUAAAGGGCGCGUAGGCGGCCUGCUAAGUCGGACGUGAAAUCCCUCGGCUCAACCGAGGAACUGCGUCCGAUACUGGUGGGCUUGAAUCCGGGAGAGGGAUGUGGAAUUCCAGGUGUAGCGGUGAAAUGCGUAGAUAUCUGGAGGAACACCGGUGGCGAAGGCGGCAUCCUGGACCGGUACUGACGCUGAGGUGCGAAAGCGUGGGGAGCAAACAGG
RNAcentral lists this ribosomal RNA (253 nucleotides) under uncultured bacterium. RNAcentral describes it as "partial 16S ribosomal RNA". It matches the Rfam family "Bacterial small subunit ribosomal RNA", at positions 524 to 776 of the family's 1533-position model. The record is from RNAcentral.